This 65-nucleotide transfer RNA is filed under the name Cinygmina sp. 07BF86. RNAcentral's name for it is "tRNA-Pro". The record is from RNAcentral. Lineage: Eukaryota; Metazoa; Arthropoda; Insecta; Ephemeroptera; Heptageniidae.
CAGAGGGUAGUUUAUGAAAAUAUUAGUUUUGGGGACUAAAGAUAGGGCUUUAGCUUUACCUCUGA